RNAcentral lists this long non-coding RNA (1164 nucleotides) under Mus musculus (house mouse). Its description in RNAcentral is "long non-coding RNA chrX:82612456-82613620". The record is from RNAcentral. Lineage: Eukaryota; Metazoa; Chordata; Mammalia; Rodentia; Muridae.
UUUCAUUAAAGUAAUUUUAUCCUUAGAGUUUCCCACUUCUUCAUCUGCAUGGAUCCCGGAGUCUUUAGAAAUGGAGUUUGAUUAUACAUAUACAUAUUUAUACAUAUCUCCCAUUUAGGUCUAAGUACUUCAAAGUUUCUCAUUCUUUAUACAUUUUCCAGUUGUGAGUAUCUGUGCUCAUGACUAUCUACAACAAAAUGAAGCUCAUAAGAUGAUGGGUGUGUGACAUUCUGAUCUGUGAGUACAACAGAAUGUCCUUAAGAGUCAUUUCAUUACUAUAUUCUCUGUAUUUCUGAAUUUGCUCAUUGUGCCUUUCAUUUAUAAGUUCAUUAGGGAUACUACUCACAUAUCCCCAUCCAAAAUAAACAAGAACCACAUAUAUAAUUACUAUUGUUAAUUAUUAAUUUUAUUAUAUGUUAUUAAUGUUAUUAAUAUUUUUCUCGUAUAAUUACAUCUGAUGCAGGAUAAAAUUGAAAGGAAUACAGAGAUAAAAUCAAGAUCACAGACUAAGAUGGUCCAGACCCUUAUAUCUUACACUUAGACAUGAAUUGGAUAAUAGAAUAUAAAUUUCCUGAGAAGUUCAGAAAUGAUAAGUAGCUUCUUCACCUCAGAACACUAUGAAGUCAAGCACAUCAUUAUUUUCACCCUUGAUUAUUUCUCCAUGUGGCAGAAAAAUAAUGAGCUCCAGGACUUUCGUUAGGAAAAGAAAGAAAACACUGUCCAAAAUAUAGGGAGAUUGCCCAUUAGAUUGUUCUCCUUCUCAUCACCAGCGUAAUAUUCAUAAGACCUAGAAUAUUCCACAUUCCUGGGUUUUGUUAAAAGCCAAAAGUUAUCAGAUGGCAUCUUAUUAUUUCCAAGGAACCAUGGUAUAACAGACCAUAUAGAAUUUAGUGAGUUCUUCUUCUGCAGGAAAAGGAAGAGUGGAAUAUACAUAUGUCCAGCAUUUGAGUUUUUCAGAGACUUGUUGAUAAACGGGAGUCUGUCUUGUCUGUCUCAGGAUGUGGUCAGGGUUUGGCCUAUAUUCCAGCUUAUAACCUGCUGGGAAAUAAAGGAACUGGGUGUAUAGUGUGCAUUUGUUUCAAUGAAACUGCAGUGUAGCUGAUAGACACCAGAGGGAGUUAGAGAUCAUGGGCAUGUGAAGACAAGUAACAAGAAUAUGCUUCU